Long non-coding RNA from Dendroctonus ponderosae (mountain pine beetle), 2081 nucleotides. RefSeq lists it as uncharacterized. The record is from RefSeq and is a predicted model, not a curated record. The transcript has 2 exons. NCBI's taxonomy places the organism in Eukaryota, Metazoa, Arthropoda, Insecta, Coleoptera, Curculionidae.
AUUCUUAUUUAUAAUAACAUAGUUUCGCAACUCUCAUACACCUAACAAAACAUUCCGGAUCGCCCGCAUGCAUUUUAAAAGUUGCAACAUGCUGUUAAUAGAAGUAGACCAUAAAGCCAGAAAGAUAUUUUUACUUUAUCGCAAAUUCCGUCACCAAUUGAAAAUACAUGCAUGUGUAAUGGAGAUAUGAGUUUUUGGAGCUCACAAUCAUUCUGUAUGUGUCUAAGCCUAAGAUAAUUGGUUGGUGGGACUUACAGGGUUACAACUUUCAACUCCACCGGAUCCAAAGAAAUACUCUCUGUUGUAGACUACGAUAGAUGUGUGCCAAAUGCCAUCAAUCCUUUUUCCUAAUAAAAUUGGAAAAGGGUUUAAAAACUUUGUUAACCUACAAAUGGAUGUUUCGAGUCAUUUUGAAUUAAAACCUUGCUUACCUAUUAACAUCGGGGAUAGCUGGGACGCCAGACCCCCAGAUAAAUCGUAAAUAUACACUUCUACUUUGUGAUUUUCCAUGUUUUUGAAGAUAUACUAAAUUGUACGUUGCAACCCCUUUAAGUGGAGACGUCAAAAAUAAAACAGCGAAAAAACAGCUGACCUUGUCACGUUUUUUCGAGUUGACAAUUUUUAUCUCAACAAAGUUAUCUUGAAACUCGCACUAAAAAUAAAAAAUCGCCAAACCUACUAUUAAAAUUCAGUACACAUAUAAAACAUUAAUAGGCAAUCGAUAAUCUUUUGCACUGUCACCUGAAUGUCGAGUGUUUUCUAGAAGAAAUGAUAUGAGUAUUUUGCGCGACUUGGAUUCCCGCCAUAAUAACAAAAUUGGAAAUGAGCGUUUAGAAUGUAACAAAUUAAAUUGUCGCGGAAAUAUGGUAGUCGCAAACCCGCGUAUACCCACAUUUUCUAUUUUAAGAUUUUCACAAUCUAAACGCUGUAUAAUCUUACCUGUAUUCUACUUAUUUUUAGUUUUUCCGUAAACUGAAUUGGAAUAUUUCAUUCCGACGUUCAUAGUAGUAUAAGCAGUAAAUGUAUCAAUACAAAUUUUUUAUUAGAUUAAUAUUAGGUUACAUUGCAAUAAUUUUAUUUUAUUUGCAGAAUAGUAUUUUCAAUAAUGGAUUAUUAGCAUCUAUUCGAAAUUUGUAUUUUUAACAAUCGCGGGAAAAUUUUAAACACACCUUGCGCACUGUCAUCUUGGCAUGCGACAACAAACAUCAGCUGUUCGGAUUUGGAAUUGACAGAAGUGGGUAACCUUCCGUAGUAGGUACCUUAAACAUAUGUAUUAAAUAGUUUAAUAUAAAAUAGGAUAAAUAUAUAUUCCCCAAAAGAACAUUGUGAAACAGUAAUUUUAUAGAAGUGACAACCUUUCUAGAUUGAGUAAGGAAUUAAAGUAACUUUAACAGAUUUAUUGAGUGAGAGCUGUAAGUUUUGGGAAUUAUUGUUUUAUUAUUAAUUUUAUUAUUAUUAUAAUUUCGAUUGUUAAUAAAAUUAAUUGCCAAUGUUUUAUGGAUACGGAUAAUAAUAAAAACGUUUAUUUCAUUCAACCGGCCCAGAAUACACAUAUGAAUUAGAUUCCGAAUUAGAAUUUUGUAAUUUUCUAAGAAUACAGUAAAUUAUCAUCAAUGGAUUAAUGUUUAUAUUUGGUUGAGAUGAUUUACGUUAAUCGAAACUCUCAUUAAUUUAGUUCGUCGAAAAAAUAGAAAUUCACGUUUUAUAAUUAGAGCUUUUGACGUUAUUAAACCUAAAUUCGAUUUUUAAAAUUUGAUUUAACUCAAAAUCAUCUAGAGUUUUUCAAUACCUUGGAAACGCAUAUGUAUAAUGGUUUUGUCACUUUUCAUUCUACUGUGUUAAUUAUGUUUAUUUCAUUAUUCAUAUCUCUUAAUAUUUCAUUAGGUAUUUUUUACUGCAUCUGUAUAGCACACUUUUCAAUGUCCGUUACCUAAUUUUGGCAAAAGUAUAUUAAAGAAAUUUGAAUUGCAAAUACCUUAGAGCGAAAAAGUUGGCAUACGUCGAUUUCCAGAAAAAUUAGAUUUUAUAAAACAGUUUAUUAGUUAUUAUAAUACAUAACGAUUACAAUUUCAUGGAAUUUA